RNAcentral lists this ribosomal RNA (514 nucleotides) under uncultured bacterium. RNAcentral's name for it is "partial 16S ribosomal RNA". It matches the Rfam family "Bacterial small subunit ribosomal RNA", at positions 28 to 523 of the family's 1533-position model. The record is from RNAcentral.
GAUGAACGCUGGCGGCGUGCCUAAUACAUGCAAGUCGAGCGAACAGAUGAGAAGCUUGCUUCUCUGAUGUUAGCGGCGGACGGGUGAGUAACACGUGGGUAACCUACCUAUAAGACUGGGAUAACUCCGGGAAACCGGGGCUAAUACCGGAUAAUAUUUUGAACCGCAUGGUUCAAUAGUGAAAGACGGUUUCGGCUGUCACUUAUAGAUGGACCCGCGCCGUAGUAGCUAGUUGGUAAGGUAACGGCUUACCAAGGCGACGAUACGUAGCCGACCUGAGAGGGGGAUCGGCCACACGGGAACUGAGACACGGUCCAGACUCCUACGGGAGGCAGCAGUAGGGAAUCUUCCGCAAUGGGCGAAAGCCUGACGGAGCAACGCCGCGUGGGUGAUGAAGGUCUUCGGAUCGUAAAACUCUGUUGUUAGGGAAGAACAAAUUUGUUAGUAACUGAACAAGUCUUGACGGUACCUAACCAGAAAGCCACGGCUAACUACGUGCCAGCAGCCGCGGUAA